GCGCCAGUGGUGUAACGGCUAGCAUUGAUGCCUUCCAAGCAUUAGUUCCGGGUUCGAUUCCCGGCUGGCGCA
RNAcentral lists this transfer RNA (72 nucleotides) under Coemansia spiralis. RNAcentral's name for it is "tRNA-Gly". It matches the Rfam family "tRNA". From Rfam's summary of the family: Transfer RNA (tRNA) molecules are approximately 80 nucleotides in length. Their secondary structure includes four short double-helical elements and three loops (D, anti-codon, and T loops). Further hydrogen bonds mediate the characteristic L-shaped molecular structure. tRNAs have two regions of fundamental functional importance: the anti-codon, which is responsible for specific mRNA codon recognition, and the 3' end, to which the tRNAs corresponding amino acid is attached (by aminoacyl-tRNA synthetases). tRNAs cope with the degeneracy of the genetic code in two manners: having more than one tRNA (with a specific anti-codon) for a particular amino acid; and 'wobble' base-pairing, i.e. permitting non-standard base-pairing at the 3rd anti-codon position. The record is from RNAcentral. Lineage: Eukaryota; Fungi; Kickxellomycota; Kickxellomycetes; Kickxellales; Kickxellaceae.